GUCCUCGAAAUAGGGCCGCAGCCACCAUGGAGGAACCGGAGAUGCAGCUCAAGGGGAAGAAAGUAACAGACAAGUUCACUGAGAGUGUCUACGUCCUGGCCAACGAGCCAUCCGUGGCCCUGUACCGGCUGCAGGAGCACGUGCGCCGUUCUCUGCCCGAGCUGGCCCAGCAUAAGGCUGACAUGCAGCGGUGGGAGGAGCAAAGCCAGGGAGCCAUCUACACGGUGGAGUACGCCUGCAGCGCCGUGAAGAACCUUGUCGACAGCAGCGUCUACUUCCGCAGCGUGGAAGGCCUCCUCAAACAGGCCAUCAGCAUCCGAGACCACAUGAACGCCACAGCCCAGGGCCACAGCCCCGAGGAACCACCCCUGCCCUCUUCAGCCUGAUCCCGGAAGAGACUUGGAGGUGCUUUGGCCCCUCUGACUCAGGCCCCGGGCUCUACACACAGCCUCAUUUUACAGAAGAGGAAACUGAGGCUCAGAGAGGCGAGUGACCAGAAAUGCCAGGAUUCACAUCCAGACCCUCUAACGCCCAGUGCUUCACCUCUUCCCUCAGCCUCGCCCAGGAUUUUCCUCAGACGCCACCUCAUCAGGGCUACCCUGCAGCCCUAGGGGUCUCUCAGACCUCGCCUUGACUCACCUCUUGCCCCCCAGCCCGACCAAAGCUUGGACCCUUGGACACAGCCUUGUGGGACUUGGCAGGGACAGAAGACCAAGUAAGUGUGGCCGGCGCAUUCCUCUUGCUCUUGCCUGGAACCUGUGGGCCAGCCAUGAAUGUCCUGAGACGAGGCUUUGCUGCCUCUGGAUUCUUACCCGCCCCCACUGGCCCCAGGACACAGCCAUGGCCCCUCGGACCAGUAACUGCCAUCAUGACAAUCCUGAUCAUGCACCUGCUGUGUGCCCAGAUUUGUGCUGGGGGCUUCACAAGGGUCAUCUUUCAUCCUCAGACAGCCCUAUAAGGCAGAUGUCACCCAAAUGCAGAUGGGAAAAGAGAGGCUCCGAGAGGUGGCAUUAUUUGUGUGUGAUCACACAGAGAAGAGUAGACCCCGGCCUAGUUUGGUCCCAGCCCUGCCUCUGACAUGCUGUGUGACAUGGGUCUGGCACCGACCCUCCCUGGUGCUGCCUUUCUCCAUCUCAACAAGGAAGGCUGGACUGGACCUUCUCUACAGGCUGAGGCAGGCAGUCGUGUACCUGCCUGCCUGGACUGCAUUCUGCCUCGAGCAGAAAUGCCCACCUCAGGCUCAGACCAUAAGGAGAAGCCACCCUAACUCCAGGGGUGGAUGUGGGACCCUGGCCUGGCUAGUCAGAGCUCCCCAUCUCCCAGGUCACAGUGGUUGGUUUGAGACGGGCAUGCGAUCCAACGAGAGGUCUUCCCUGAGGAUUUUGCUGGAAAAGUACCAUCUUCCUUCUGGGGUUGGUGAGCUCGGCAGAUGGACCAGGGGACCUGAGAACAUUGCCUGGGGCCCUGGAUCCAGCUGUACCUGACACUAGAAAAUCUCAAUUCUUCAGUUUCAUGAGUCCCUAAAAUUACUGUAUUUGC
RNAcentral lists this long non-coding RNA (1539 nucleotides) under Phocoena sinus (vaquita). RNAcentral describes it as "lncRNA (ENSPSNG00000001809.1)". The record is from RNAcentral. Lineage: Eukaryota; Metazoa; Chordata; Mammalia; Artiodactyla; Phocoenidae.